Molecule: regulatory RNA element, 26 nt
Rfam family: L25-Gammaproteobacteria ribosomal protein leader
Source: Rfam
CCUGUCGCUGGGUCGCCUGCGACAGG